CGAACGGGUGAGUAACGCGUGAGGAACCUGCCUCAAAGAGGGGGACAACAGUUGGAAACGACUGCUAAUACCGCAUAAGCCCACGGUGCCGCAUGGCACAGAGGGAAAAGGAGCAAUCCGCUUUGAGAUGGCCUCGCGUCCGAUUAGCUAGUUGGUGAGGUAACGGCCCACCAAGGCGACGAUCGGUAGCCGGACUGAGAGGUUGAACGGCCACAUUGGGACUGAGACACGGCCCAGACUCCUACGGGAGGCAGCAUG
RNAcentral lists this ribosomal RNA (258 nucleotides) under uncultured bacterium. Its description in RNAcentral is "partial 16S ribosomal RNA". It matches the Rfam family "Bacterial small subunit ribosomal RNA", at positions 99 to 353 of the family's 1533-position model. The record is from RNAcentral.